ACGCUCGACACCUACGAGAGGCAGCAGUGGGGAAUAUUGCACAAUGGGGGAAACCCUGAUGCAGCGACGCCGCGUGAAGGAAGAAGUAUCUCGGUAUGUAAACUUCUAUCAGCAGGGAAGAAAAUGACGGUACCUGACUAAGAAGCCCCGGCUAAUUACGUGCCAGCAGCCGCGGUAAUCUGAGCGGGCUGGCAAGGC
This 198-nucleotide ribosomal RNA is filed under the name uncultured bacterium. Its description in RNAcentral is "partial 16S ribosomal RNA". It matches the Rfam family "Bacterial small subunit ribosomal RNA", at positions 328 to 539 of the family's 1533-position model. The record is from RNAcentral.